This 480-nucleotide ribosomal RNA is filed under the name uncultured bacterium. Its description in RNAcentral is "partial 16S ribosomal RNA". It matches the Rfam family "Bacterial small subunit ribosomal RNA", at positions 28 to 507 of the family's 1533-position model. The record is from RNAcentral.
GACGAACGCUGGCGGCGUGCUUAGCACAUGCAAGUCGAACGAUGAAGAAAAGAAUCGAAGCUUCGGCAGAAAUUCAUUUCGGAUUAGUGGCAGACGGGUGAGUAACGCGUGAGCAACCUACCUCUUACAAAGGGAUAGCCUCGGGAAACCGGGAUUAAUACCAUAUAACAUUGCGACGAAGCAUUUCGAUGCAAUCAAAGCUACGGCGGUAAGAGAUGGGCUCGCGUCCCAUUAACCGGAUGGUGAGGUAACGGCUCACCAUAGUGACGAUGGGUAACCGGCCUGAGAGGGUGAACGGUCACACUGGAACUGAGACACGGUCCAGACUCCUACGGGAGGCAGCAGUGGGGAAUAUUGCACAAUGGAGGGAACUCUGAUGCAGCGACGCCGCGUGAGUGAUGAAGGAAUUCGUUUCGUAAAACUCUGUUCUAUGGGAAGAAAAGGACUGUACCAUAGGAGAAAGCUCCGGCUAAAUACGUG